Long non-coding RNA from Capra hircus (goat), 1187 nucleotides. RefSeq lists it as uncharacterized. The record is from RefSeq and is a predicted model, not a curated record. NCBI's taxonomy places the organism in Eukaryota, Metazoa, Chordata, Mammalia, Artiodactyla, Bovidae. The transcript has 8 exons.
GGAUUGAACCCACGUCUCUUGCGUCUCCCACACUAAAUAGCAGCUCAAGGUGACUUUAGCCUCCAUGAGAUCAAGGUCAUGAGCUUCAGAUUGCUAUGGGACAGAGAGCCAGGACAGAUGCUCCUGACACUUCAGCUUUCGUUGUGCUCAAUUGUCACACCAACUGUGAUCGGGAGGAAACUAAGGAAAAGAAAUAUAGAAAUGAACGAAGAAAAGAGACUUAAUCGUGGACCAGUGAUGAUGAUCGUGAUGGGAAGAGUCCUAUUUGAUGAAAACAUGUCUCAGACUCUGAGGUCCAACCCAGAACAUCGGCAGUCUCUUCCUUCUGAAAGAAGCCAGUACCGAUGAUUUAGCAUCUUCCACGGACAGAAGCUCUGGAGUUGCCUCUGUAUAACAGGAAGGUGGAGAUUAAUACCCUACGCCCUCGAGCUUUGUGUUUGCAUCUCUGUGUUAGGAGCACAGAGACCAGUACUUGUCACCGUGGGCUAAUGUAAGCCUUCCUCAUGGUCAUGGAUUCUGCGGUUGCACUUGAUGCGCUCAGGGUUAGGAGAGCAAAAUGCUGGAGCUGAUUUUAGCCUCUGCCGUUACCAAGAUUGUGAGACCAAGGUGAGUAAUGGUCAACAUUAUUGUUUUGGCCUGGGUCAUCUGUUUAAGGGUAUUUAUAGUAUUAUUAGAAAAUAUUAAAUUCAUUGAAAAGUUUAUCAUGGCCUAAUGAUAAAUAUGAAGUACUAUGUUGAUUAAUCAAUAAUGAACAUGAUUGAGGUCUAUUAAUUAAAAAGGUUUAGUCUAUGUGGAGAAUGAUUCUGCAAACUGAUGUUAGGCAUAUCCUUGAUCUUGUCCUAGAGUUUUUAUGAACCAUGUAUUAUUUUUAUUUGUAUCAACGCAUUCAUAAUUUAAUCAGUACAAACAUACAAAUGAAGAGGAAUAGAUCCAGUCAUGGACCAGUGAUGAUGACUGAUGAUAAAGGAGUCAUGGACAAUGAGAAAAUAUGUGUCUGAAACUCUGAGGUCCAACAUGGAACAAAAUUAGUCUGUUCCUCUGUUGAAAUUGCUUCUGUAAAGAGAUAUGAGACAUAUCCAAAGAUCAUAUUCUUGUAUUGAUUGUGAUCAAUAUUGGUCAUAUUCUUGUAUAGCCUUAGAUUUGUUUUUAAUAAUGAAAUUAGCUUCCGUCCCAGCUCAGUUGGUAAA